This 253-nucleotide ribosomal RNA is filed under the name uncultured bacterium. RNAcentral describes it as "partial 16S ribosomal RNA". It matches the Rfam family "Bacterial small subunit ribosomal RNA", at positions 524 to 776 of the family's 1533-position model. The record is from RNAcentral.
UACAGAGGGGGCAAGCGUUGUUCGGAAUUACUGGGCGUAAAGGGCGCGUAGGCGGCCCGCUAAGUCGAACGUGAAAUCCCCGGGCUCAACCCGGGAACUGCGUCCGAUACUGGCAGGCUUGAAUCCGGGAGAGGGAUGCGGAAUUCCAGGUGUAGCGGUGAAAUGCGUAGAUAUCUGGAGGAACACCGGUGGCGAAGGCGGCAUCCUGGACCGGUAUUGACGCUGAGGAGCGAAAGCCAGGGGAGCAAACGGG